CUUUUUGGUCAUUCUCUACAUUUUAAUGUGUAGUAUUUUUAAUAUUAAAAACAUUUUUAUAAUUAUAUAUAUAAUUUUUAAAUAUUUAUAUAAAUAUUGAUAGGCUUCACCUAAACAAUUAGCAGAAUGUGUUGAUUUGCUUCUUCAGUUGAAAGAACCUGCUGAACAGCUUUGUCAGGAAUUUCUAGCUCAUGCAAAACAGAAGUUAGAUGAAGAUUUAAUGGAAUUAGAACAUCAAAUAAAAUUUCAAUCCGGUGAAAUUGUUGCGGACGGAAAAGAGAGACCUUCAGAUGCUUAUUUAAAUAUUCCAGUUGAUAUAUUAGAAUUUGUGGAUCUAGGCUGUAAUGGAUUUCUCAGCAAUAUUUGUUUGGUUAUUGCUUCAUAUAGUGAUAUGUUUUUAAACAGACUACCCAAUGAAGAUGAUGAUGUG
This is a long non-coding RNA of Centruroides sculpturatus (bark scorpion), 430 nucleotides long. RefSeq lists it as uncharacterized. The record is from RefSeq and is a predicted model, not a curated record. The transcript is spliced from 3 exons. NCBI's taxonomy places the organism in Eukaryota, Metazoa, Arthropoda, Arachnida, Scorpiones, Buthidae.